Molecule: ribosomal RNA, 497 nt
Filed under: uncultured bacterium
Lineage: Bacteria
Description: partial 16S ribosomal RNA
Rfam family: Bacterial small subunit ribosomal RNA
Source: RNAcentral
GAUGAACGCUGACGGCGUGCCUAAUACAUGCAAGUCGAGCGAACAGACGAGGAGCUUGCUCCUCUGACGUUAGCGGCGGACGGGUGAGUAACACGUGGAUAACCUACCUAUAAGACUGGGAUAACUUCGGGAAACCGGAGCUAAUACCGGAUAACAUGUUGAACCGCAUGGUUCAACAGUGAAAGACGGUUUUGCUGUCACUUAUAGAUGGAUCCGCGUCGCAUUAGCUAGUUGGUAAGGUAACGGCUUACCAAGGCAACGAUGCGUAGCCGACCUGAGAGGGUGAUCGGCCACACUGGAACUGAGACACGGUCCAGACUCCUACGGGAGGCAGCAGUAGGGAAUCUUCCGCAAUGGGCGAAAGCCUGACGGAGCAACGCCGCGUGAGUGAAGAAGGUCUUCGGAUCGUAAAACUCUGUUGUUAGGGAAGAACAAAUGUGUAAGUAACUAUGCACGUCUUGACGGUACCUAAUCAGAAAGCCACGGCUAACUACGUG